UGUGCAAACCCACGCAGAACUGA
RNAcentral lists this microRNA (23 nucleotides) under Callorhinchus milii (elephant shark). Its description in RNAcentral is "Cmi-Mir-19-P2d_3p (mature (guide))". Lineage: Eukaryota; Metazoa; Chordata; Chondrichthyes; Chimaeriformes; Callorhinchidae. The record is from RNAcentral.